CUCUUUACUAAUUGAAAACUGACAGCAAAAAUGCCCUCAACCGCAAACAUCUAGAAGAAAAUGGAGACAUUCGGACAGGCUGAAAUACUUUGAGUUUUAUGAGUUCUAAUAAGGUUAAUGAAGGCUCUGGAAAGAAUUUUGUUUCAUGGUGGACUCAACAAAACAAUGAGCUGGGAUCUUGAGUGAUUGGCCGGAGGGGGAGGCCUGGGAGCCUGGGCCUGAUGAGCUGCGGGUCAAGUUGGGUGAGGCCGCGCCACAGCUUCUUUCCACGCUGACGCAACCUUGGUGGAACUUGGACACUAUCUGUUGCUUGGCCUUCAGACUGCUGUCAGUCUCCAGUCGCUUUAUUAAUUUGCUGCUACAAUGAACUAUUACUAAAAGCCUGCUCUUGCCAGGCGCUGUGAUCGCCCUGCAAAGAUGCUGCCUGCCCUUGGAAGAAAUUACAAAUAACACCAUAUUGAUAUAUUUCUUGUGAGGAUGAAGUGAGAUCAUACAUGAAAAGCCCUCAGAACAGCUGGAGGUUCUCUGCCAGAUGGAAC
RNAcentral lists this long non-coding RNA (539 nucleotides) under Equus caballus (horse). RNAcentral's name for it is "lncRNA (ENSECAG00000029913.2)". Lineage: Eukaryota; Metazoa; Chordata; Mammalia; Perissodactyla; Equidae. The record is from RNAcentral.